GGAGCAGCAACUGAAUGCUACGUGGCAUUGCAUCCGCAAGUUAAGGGUGUCAGCGGCGAAUAUUUUAUGGACAGCAACAAAGCCAAUCCAACCUCUCAGGCUAAAGAUCCAGAACUGGCAAAGAAGCUAUGGGAUUUCAGUUUGAGCCUGACGGAUCCAAAGUAACCGGGAACAAAACUCUGUUGUAAAUUGCAAGUCAAUGUCAAUGUCCCUUUUACCCGUUUGAGACUUGAGUGCUAAGACGUUGAAUGACCAUGUAAAACAUAUAUAGGCUAUGGCAGGGGACUUAUCCUUGGCCCUGCCUAAAAUUAUGAACUUUUUUUCUUUCUAUUUUCCUAUAAUGAAAAACAUGGGUUAUGGUUCUUAUAUUUGUCAUGAAUGUAUAUGGUUUAUCUACUAUUUCCAAAGCACUUCAAUCCAAAGGAUUCUGUUCCACAUGUAUACAUAUAAGAGCAACAUCACAAACGUCAUUGUGAUUACAAAUCACCAUUUUAAAAGAGCCAUUGCUUUGUCUUUUCCUCUGAUUUUGGUGUGUGCUGUAAAUUAGAGGAGCAACAUGACGAGCAUUAUUGCUAAUUACAAUUCCCAGAAAUAUUGCCGUGUAAGACAGGACCAGCAGCAAUCAAAACAGUAGGCCUUGUAUUAUAUGCCUCUUAUUAACAUUUGGAGCAAUGUAUUCAAAUUGCAAUUGAUAGAAGGUCUCUGUGCAGCUGUGCUGUAACAUGUAACUUCAUUAUCUGCAAAAUUAAUGGGUGGGAUAUUUACCAAGAAGGAGCAUCUGGGUUCUCUGCUUCUUCCACAGCAGAGGAAGUUACUGAAGGGAUUGAUGGAACUGGUCUUACUGCCAUUGUUACAGGUCAUGCUCUGUUUUAAGCUUCCUAUAGGAUACACAUAACAAUAUUGUCUUGGCUGCUCUCCAGCCUAUUUGACAUCUAACAUGUCAAUGAGUCUUUCUCUGUGUCUUCCAAAGUAAGGUUGUAAAAUUUUAUUUUUUAUCAUAAACUUUGUUUAAUUUCAGGAGCUGCAAGUGGUAUUGGCGUAGAGACAUCAUGUGUUCUUGCGUUGCGUGGUGUCCAUGUAGUUAUGGCAGUAAGGAACAAGGAUGCUGGGACGAACGUCAAAGAAGCAAUUCUUAAAGAAUCCCAGAGGCUAAAAUUGAUCUCAUGGAGUUAGACCUCAGCUCAUUGGCAUCUGUAAGAAAAUUUGCAGCAGAUUUUAAAUACUUGGACCUUCCAUUGAACAUAAAUGUAAGAUAAGCAAAUUCUUAAAUUUCCUUCUUUCUUGUGUUGUAUGUGCAUAUGGUUUUCUCAUGGAAAUAAAGAAAAUGACAGCUCUCUCAGCACCAUACACGCACUCAUUUGUAGUAUUGCACUCUCUCCUUUGUUCGAAGUAACAAUGCAGGCACUAUGGCAACUCCAUUCAAGCUUUCUGAAGACAACAUAGAGCUCCAUUUUGCAACUAACCAUUUAGGUGUGUCUGCCUAAAAUUUUCUUUGAAGUCUGUCCUGUAGUAUAAUGGAUUCAGAUUUCUACGAUUCGCUUUGGUCGAGUUAUUAACUUUUACUCGAACCAUCCAAUGUGCAGGUCAUUUUCUCCUCACAGAUCUUUUGUUGGAGACCAUGAAAAGCACAUCGCGAGAAAGGAAAACAGAGGGGAGAAUUGUCAAUGUAUCAUCACUAGGCCAUCGAUACGUUACCGUGAAGGGUUUUGUUAUGAUAAAAUUAACGAUGAAUCAAGGUAAAACUGUGGCAGCACCCUUUUGAAAAAUCGUCUUUAGGCUAAUGAGGUGUUUGUGUAUAUAAAUACAUGAUCAACAAUCUGCCGUUUUGACUUGCUAUACAGAUACCACAGAUAUUAUGCUUAUGGACCGUCCAAGCUUGGAAACAUAUUGCAUGCUAAUGAGCUUACAAGACGUCUGAAGGUAUUGAGUUUCUUAAGGUCAUCAACUAUCUCUAAAGCUCUGAUACCACUGUUAGUUCUAGGGAGAAGAGAGGCUUAGGAUAAUAGCUUGAUAAUGAAUAGAAAGCUUUUGAAAGAGUAACAAGAUAAUUUUAUUUUAUUGAUUGAAAUAAGAAGGGUACAAGGGCUUUAGAGUUGGUUGGAUGCACGAGGUGGCUGAUGUGAGUUUAGACAGCUGGUAGUUUUUCAGCUUUCUUACUUGAAUACAUAAUUGUUAUAUGUCUCUGUGUGAAUGACUUAUUUAUUAUUUUUUGCUCAAAUAUUCAUGCUGUGAAUAGUGUCAAAUUAUUGUUAUGUGUGAAUUUUGAUAUGAAAGAUUUAGGUGAUGUUAAUGUAAUACUUGGAAUUAAGAUAACUAGGUCUGAAAAAGGAUUCUCUUUGGAUCAAUCUUAUUACAUUGAAAAAAUCCUUAAGAAGUAUAAUUACUUUGACUGUAAAUCAGCAUGUGAUCCUAGUAUAAAGUUGUUCAAGAAUAUUGGUGACAGUGUUAGACAAACUGAGUAUGCGAGCAUCAUUGGUAGCCUUUGAUAUGCUACUGAUUGCACUAGGGGUGAUAUAGCUUAUGCCGUAGGAGUAAUAUGUAGGUUUACAAGUAGACCUAGUUUGGAGCAUUGGUAUGCUAUUGAGAGGGUCAUGCGGUACCUUAAGAGGACGAUGAACCUUGGACUACACUAUGAGAAGUUUCCCGCUGUCCUAGAAGGAUAUAGCGAUGCUGAUUGGAAUACCAUGUCAAAUGAUUCAAAGGCUACUAGUGGAUAUAUAUUUAAUAUUGCUGGUGGUGCAAUUUCAUGGAAGUCUAAGAAAUAGACUAUUUUGGCUUGGUCCACAAUGGAGUCAGAGAUGAUAGCCCUAGCAAUGGCUAGUGAGGAAGCAGGUUGGUUGAGAAACGAUACCCCCUUGUGGGAGAGACCGAUACCAGCUGUUCUUAUCCACUGUGAUAGUACUGCAGCUAUUGCAAAAGUUCAGAACCGUUAUUAUAAUGGCAAGGGGCGACAAAUACGUCGCAAGCACAGUACUAUUAGAGAGUUUCUUUCUAAUGGGGCUGUAAGAGUGGAUUAUGUACGGUAUGAUGAGAAUUUAGCUGAUCCUUUGACAAAAGGACUAGCACGAGAAAAGGUUUGGAAAACUUCAAAAGGAAUGGGACUAAAACCCCUAGAAGGUUAAGUCACUUAUGAUGGUAACCCAACCUAUAGAUUGGAAAUCCCAAGAAAUAGGUUCAAUGGGUAAUAACAAGUCAUUUAGUGAUAUGAGUGAAGUCAUGCUAGUGUUCCAUAUCCAUCCUUAGAAGCAUGAAAUCCUGAAGCGAUUUAAGGUUGAGUUGUUUAUAACUCUUAAUGAGAUCUAUACUCUAUAUUGAGUGGGAUAUCUAGCUACAUGAAUAUCUUUGAUAGUCUCACCUAUGUGAAUGUGAAAGUGAGGCUGCUUUCUAUGAAAAUUUUGGGGGAAAUUUUCUAGAGCAUUCACUAUACUGGGAUACAAGCACAUGGCCGUAAAGUGCUGGCUUUUGAACUUCACCUUAGUAGGGCUAUGUGUGUGGUGUUGUCAGAGAUAGAGUUCAAAACUAUAUGUUACUCUUGUAUAUUCUGAAGCUCCGUCACUAUGUAAAGGUUCAAGUUGAAAAACACCUCUACUUAUGCAUAGUCUUAUGAUAUGUUGCUUAAUGAAUUUAUUUCUAAAACAAACAAGUGGGGGAUUGUUGAAGUUGGUAUGUUUAUUUUUUAUUUUUAAAAAUAUAUAUAUUCAAUAAUUCAAUAAUUGCCUUAAAUUGUCUUUAUUAAUAGGAGUUAUUUUCUAUGGGAUGAAUCCUUUUUUUUCAACUGAUGCACAACGUCUCUUUGUGAUAAUUUUCUGUUAAUUGGCUGAAUCUUUUUUCAACUGCUGCAUUGAUGUCCUUAAAGGCCACAACGUCUCUUUGUGUUAAAUCUAGUAUAUAUAUAAGAGUCAGCUAGGAGAGAAGGAACAGACAACAGCUGCUGCCUUCCUCCUCUUCAUAUAUUUUUCUUAUUUUUUAAACUAAGGGUUUCUGAGCAACAUAAAAAGGUGUUUGUAUUCGGGUCAUUCCUCAGUGCAAGGAAGAACCUAGACAGAGGAGAUUCUGGGACUGUUUUAUCCUGGGGACGUAGUGACAUUUUCAAAACUGCUUGCACUAAUUGGGCAGAGCCGCGAAACGUCUUAAAGAGAGCGACUUUGUACGCGACUCAUCCCAAGAAUUGUUCACAGUUUCACAACGAAUUUUUCCGAGUAAUAUUGUUCUUUUAAUUUUCUCUACUUCAACAGUUUGCCAAAAGGGUUACGAGUGGAGAGGGCAUAGGAGUUAUAGUUGAAGACAAAAUGGGUAAAUCUCAACUUUAUUAUAAUCCAGUAUGUGAUUACAGUUUGCAGUUUGGCAAUUUGAUUUCAGUGCAGAAAAAAGCCACAGAAAAUAUUAGAACACCAUACUACUUGGCAUUUGUCAAACUCAAGCUAAAGUCCCAGAGUCUGGUUGCCAAAUCUGCAUCUUUUGCCUGAGAGCUCGGUUUGGCGAUGUUACAGUCCACAAAGUAUUCACCGCCUACUUCCUUAAGCUGUGGAUGGAGUGCCACAAAGCAUGUGGUUGCCGCACCCUGCAUGACCAUGUUCAAUGACAUAAUUAGUUUCAUAUAAUGUGAAUGCCCAAAAAAGAUUUUGUAUCAAACAAAAGAGAAAUAUCAUCUCUUGUGGAACAUAAAGAUGUACCUGCUGAACAGUUCUAGAGAUAAAUAUGCUCAGCACCUUAAGAAUACCUGCGUCAAGCCAAAGAAAAUGUGAGUUGAUCUGUGGAAACCCAGAGAAAUACUACUGCACUGUCAACAAAUGUAUCCAUGUGUGUUAGUUCUAGGGAGAAGAGAGGCUUAGGAUAAUAACUUGAUAAUGAAUAGAAAACUUUUGAAAGAGUAACAAGAUAAUUUUAUUUUAUUGAUUGAAAUAAGAAGGGUACAAGGGCUUUAGAGUUGGUUGGAUGCACGAGGUGGCUGAUGUGAGUUUAGACAGCUGGUAGUUUUUCAGCUUUCUUAGAGCAUUCCAGCAAAGGAANNNNNNNNNNNNNNNNNNNNNNNNNNNNNNNNNNNNNNNNNNNNNNNNNNNNNNNNNNNNNNNNNNNNNNNNNNNNNNNNNNNNNNNNNNNNNNNNNNNNGAGCCCUUGGGAGAUUAUGCGGGCCAGCCUCCCCCUCGGGCCACCCCAGUUUCCUUGGCCCCACAUCUGGCCCGGACUGCGCUGGCCUGCCGGCAAACCCAAUUUUUCUUUUCCAGCAGCAAAGAUCUGCCAGGGCAAGAUGUGGGGCCCAGGAAACUGGGCUGGCCCGAGGGGGAGGCUGGCCCGCAUAAUCUCCCAACGGCUCUCUUCCACGUGGCACACUUCUGAGCGCGCUGAUUCAAUUUUUCCAGCAAUCCAACGGCACUCAUUUUUUCCCGAAUAAAAAAAUCAAAACCGCACCCCCCAACGGCUCUCUUCCACGUGGCUCCUUCUGGGCUCUCCGAUCUGCUUUUUCUAGAAAUCCAAUGGUAGCCAAUUUUUUCUCAAAUAAAAAAAUCUAAAUUUUUUUUAAAAAAAUACCUAAAAAAUACUGAAAUUUUUUUCUACAAAUACCAACCAAUACUCUUCACUUUUAACACCAACUCCUCAUACAUUUUCUUCUCCUUCUACUAUUAUUCACUUUCUACUCAAUAUUUUUUCACUUUCAAGUUAUUUUUUUCUCUAUCAUAUUAUGGAUUCUUCUAAUGAAACCGGAGGGGCAUGGAGCAUGAUGGAAGAUGUUAGCUUGUGUGAGGCUUGGCUCCGAGUUAGUCAUUGUCCCGUAACGGGCAAUGAGAUUAAAUUCUGUCAUAUGUGGAAAAAAAUUCAUCAGGAAUUUUGUGAUAGGGUAAUUGGUUCGACUCGUACAGAUCAAGCAUUAUCUAGUAGGUGGAAAAUUCUUAACAAAGAGUUGGGGAAAUGGAGAGAUGCAUUGACAAAAGCUAUGGACAACCAUAGAAGCGGGGAAAACCUUAGCAGUGAGGUAAAUUAUUUGUAAUUUUUGUUUAUUAAUUUCUAUGUCAUAUUAAAUUUUAUUUAAAUGUUUCUUGCAAUUUAUAUAUGUUGUUAAUAUUUCUUGUAUUUCAAUAUUAAUAUGAAUGUUUCUUGCAUAUUUAUAUUUUGUUUUGAAUUUCUAAUAAAUUGUUAAAGUUUCUUGCGUUUCCAUUAAUUUUUUUUUAAUACCUGUUGCAUUGCCAAUAUUUUUUAAAGUUUCUUGUAUUGCCAAUUUUUUUUUAUACUUGUUGCAUUGCCAAUAUUUUUUAAAGUUUCUUGUAUCGCCAUUUUUUUUUUAUACUUGUUGCAUUGCCAAUUUUUUUUUUAUACUUGUUGCAUUGCCAAUAUUUUUUUAAAGUUUCUUGUAUUGCCAUGUUUUUUUUAUACUUGUUGCAUUGCCAAUAUUUUUUAAAGUUUCUUACAUUUUUUUUUUGUAUAGAUUAUGCAAGCACAAAUGUUUUUUGAUGCUACUUGGGGGGGGGGGGGGGGGGUGUGGGAAGUUUCAACCAUACCCUAGGUGGUGAAGAAUUGUAAGAGAUUCCAAAUUAUUCAAACGGGUCCGACGGUAGUCUUGAACGAGACGCCACUCCAUGAGACACCGGCAUCGGAUUCACCUAUGGAUUCCCCGAUGAGUCAAGACUCGCCUAUUGAAAAGGAGCCUAGGCCUAUUGGGAGGAAGGCGGCGAAGGCGAAGAGAGGGAGUAGUUCUACCAAGAAUGCAUCUAAAUUUUUGGAGGAACUUUCAAAGAUGCAAGCCAUGAGAAUUGAAAUGGACAUGAAACAACAAGAGCACGAUAGGGCAAUUGAUGUAGAAUAUGCAAAAGAAAGGGAGUAUGUACGCUAAGAAAGGGAGUAUGUACGCCAAGAAAAGAUUGAAAAAAAGGAUCGGGAAACCAUGGCCAUGGAUACAAGCCAUAUGUCUCCUGAAACAAAAUAAUUUUGGAAGCUAGAACGAAGGGAUGUUAUAAGACAAAGACUUUUUCGUGACGAUGGACCUAGCAACACGGAUUGGUUAAAUGAUCAAAACCAUUAAGUUAGUUUGCUUGCCUUUCAUUUCAUUGUAUUUUUUGUUUUGUUUCAAAAAUUAGUGGUAAUUCAUGUAUUUUAUUUUAUGAGUUGAAUUGAUUUUCUUUUACUGAAUAAAGAAAAUAUUCAACAAAAUUCCUUUUUAUUCAAAACAUUCCAUACAUAAAAAGCAAACCACAACCAAAGCAUAAAAAAAAAAAAUUCAAACCACAACUAAAGCAUAAAAAAAUAAUAAAGCAUAACUAAAAAUACAACAUAAACAUAAUACAUUAAAAAAACAUCUUCACUUCACUUCAUUCACCUUCAUUGCCUUUCACCGACCACAAAUGCUCCAUCUAGUCAACUUGACGGUGUUCAUGAAUAUACGACGAUUGCAUCUCCGUGUAGCGCUCAAUCAUACGAGGCAAGAAACUACCGUCUCUAACCAAGGGAUCAUGCUGCACUGGUUCUCCAUUUGGCCCCAUGGGUUUUUCAUAAAUUCGUGUUAAGGCCGUGUUCAUGGGAUCCGGUUCAUACACUUCAUCAGCAUCGUAAUCAUACUCAUCUUCCACAAUCAUGUUGUGGAGGAUGAUACAAGUCAUCAUUAUACUCCUAAGCACCUCCUCGUCAAAUAGACGAGCCGCACCCCUGAUAAUAGCCCACCGGGCUUGAAGGAUACCAAAGCACCUCUCCACAUCUUUUAUGUAGCCCUCUUGAUAGGCAGAAAAAAAAAUUUCCUUAUGGGAUCGGGGAUGUGGAAUUGAUUUCACAAAUGUUGUCCAUCUCGGGUAGAUACCAUAAGCUAGAUAAUACCGAUUCUGGUAGACGGUAUUAUUGAUUUGAUAUGUGAUAUUUGGGCCUUCACCUCUCAGAACAUCAUUGAACACUGGGGAUUGACCCAGGACGUUCAAAUCGUUUUGAGAGCCGGCAACUCCAAAAAAGGCGUGCCAAAUCCAUGUAUCAAAACCAGCAACUGCUUCAAGGAUGAUACUUUUCUGCCCUUUCCGAUUGCCAUAAUCCCCUUGCCAAGCAGUUGGAAAAUUUUUCCAUUGCCAGUGCAUGCAGUCAAUGAUACCAAUCAUUCCAGGAAAUCCACGAGACUCAGCUUUUUUUAGAAGCCGUUGCAGAUCCCUGAGCGUAGGUCUGCGCAGGUACUCCCUGGUGUACAGAGUUUCCACUGCAUCACAAAAUCGCACCAAGCUCUCCAAAAUAGUGGACUUCCCCAUCUAGGCAAUCUCAUCCACCUGAUCAGCAGAUGACCCAUACGCUAACAUUCGUAUCACAGCUGUGAACUUUUGCUCGGGAAGAAGCCCCAAAUUUUCAGCACAAUUUUUCUUUUGAACAAAGUAUUCAUCAUAAUUACAAAUAUCAUGCAUGACUUUAUUGAACAAAUGAUGUUGCAUUCUAUAUCUCGCUCGAAAAUGAACAUCAGAGUACAGAAAAUGUGGGAUAAAAUAAUCUUCCAAAAGAUUCUUACCCCGAGAAUGUCUAUGUCUGUCCACAUUCGGGGCACGGCCUUCUCGUGAACCACGGCGGCUCUGGUUUUCUUCCUCCAGCACAGCAACGGCCAUGCCAAGUUGCUCAUCUAGUUCUCUCUGCACCCUUUUGCUUGCAGCUCGUCGACGCAUUCUUUCUUUCCUUUCUCUCUCUUGCCUCUCCAAAACCUCUUGCAUGUCUGCCAUUGAAAAUGGAGAAUUAAAUCUAAAAUCUGAGAAAUUGAAAUGUAGAGAAGAUCUGGUGUGGGAGGUAUGAGUUGAGCUUCUGGUUUUGUAGAAAAAUUUAGACAGAUAGUUAUGACACGUGGCGCAAUCUUAGAGGGUGAAAAUCUUAUCUGAAAUUUGAAUUUCAAAUGAAAUUUAAAAUUUAAAAUUUAUCUGAAAUUUGAAUUUCGAAAUGUAUCUGAAAUUUGACAUUUUGAAUUUAUCUGAAAUUUGGAUUUUGAAAUGUAUCUGAAAUUUGAAAUUUAUCUGAAAUUUAUAUGAAAUUUGAAACCGAAAAUCUUAUCCGAUAUGAAUAGUAUUGACACGUAGGAACCCAAAAAUCUUAUCCGAAAAUAUUAUCCAAAUUAAUUAUUUAAAUAAACAAAGUUGUGAAAAAAAAACAAAAAAAAUGAAUAGUAUUUGCCAUGGCAAGCCUAAAUUGCUGGAAACACAUUUUGCUGGGGGGCUAGGGCAGCCACUAUUCACGUGAAUAGUAGCUGCCCCAGGGCUCCCCUUGCCAUGACAAGGGGCUAACUGGUGGAAAUGCUCUUACUUGAAUACAUAAUUGUGCUGCUAUAGCUAUAUAUAGAGUAGCUAAACCGACUCAAAGGAUGGCAAAUAUCUAGUGAAGUCGGUUAUUGCAUAGUAACCGACUUCCAAAGUGUUUUCCAGCCACUAGUUAUAAUAUAAGUCUAGAAUUUUCUAGUUACAAUACAUUAUAUAAUUAAUAGGAUGUUUUUAGUAUAGAGCUCAAAUUUGACUUGUGAUCUUUUCUCAAUUUUUUUAGACUUUUCUAUAUUAUUCUAGUACAAGUGUGCAUUAUUUUUUAACACUCCUCCUUAAUGCACAUUUGUGUUACUCCGAGCAAGCUUCGUAGUAGUUCGAAUUUUGGUCUUGGAAGUGCCUUAGUGAAAAUGUCUGCGAUUUGCUCUUCUGUCUUGCAAUACUUGAGCUCAACUUCUUUGUUUGCUGAGACUUCUCAUAAGAAGUGAUGCUUGAUGGCGAUAUGCUUUGUCCUGCUGUGAAAUACUGGAUUCUUUGCCAUUGCUAUAGCAGACUUGUUGUCGCAAAAUAUUUCAGUAGCUUCUAUUUGGCACUCUCCCAUAUCUUCAAAUAUUCUUUUGAGCCAAAUAGCUUGGCAUGCUGAACUUGCUGCUGCUACUUACUCGGCUUCUGCUGAUGAUUGAGCCACAAUCUCUUGUUUCUUUGAUGACCAUGAAAAUAUUCCUGAUCCAAUUGUAAAUGCAUAGCUUGAUGUGCUUUUCAUGUCAUCUACUGAUCCAGCCCAAUCACUGUCUGUGUAGCCAAAUAGUCUUGGAUCUGUAGUGGGCUUAUACCAUAUGCCAUAGUCAACAAGCACCACGAGCAUGGAACAGCCGCAUAGACAAGUACUUCAUCAACGCAAGCUUUAGGAGGAGCAAAAGCAAGCCUACUCUCUACACUAAAACUCAAGGUAAGUCCGAUAUCUUUGUGGCACUCCAUCCACAGCUUAAGGGAGUAGGCGGUGAAUACUUUGUGGGCUGUAACAUCGCCAAACCGAGCUCUCAGGCAAAAGAUGCAGAUUUGGCAACCAGACUCUGGGACUUUAGCUUGAGUUUGACAAAUGCAAAGUAGUAUGGUGUUGUAAUAUUUUCUGGGUCAUGUAGUAGCUGGCUUUUUUCUGCACUGAAAUCAAAUUGCCAAACUGCAAACUGUAAUCACAUACUGGAUUAUAAUAACGUUGAGAUUUACCCAUUUUGUCUUCAACUAUAACUCCUAUGCCCUCUCCACUCGUAACCCUUUUGGCAAACUUGUCAUUCAAGUACUGCAGAACAUGUUCGAUGACCGAUUUUUUGGGCAUCAGUAGCCUUGAGCAGUUUCUAAGGUCGCUUACUGUCAGCUUCUUCCUGCAGUUUCCAAGGCCCCUGAUCCUGAGGCCGUGGACUCAGCGUAGUUUCCGGCACAACUUGGUUUCUUUUCUUUUUCUUUAAUUCCUUGUUCAUAUGAUUCGUACUCUAUUUUCUUGUGUUUUGGAUUAGGAGGGAAUGCAGAAAAUGUGAGAGGAGCAAGGUCUAAUUCCUCUGCUUUUCUCUGGUUUGUGUUGUAAUUCCAAGUUGGAUCACACAAAGUGAGGGCAGUGGAAACUUGGCCUGGUAGUGGGCAAUGAUUUGCACUGGUACUAGCUUCUUCCUCCGUUGUUAAUGUUGAAAUUAAGAGAAGAAAAUAAAUCAAACUACAAAACAAUCAAUUGAUGAAUUCUAGUGGUUGGGGGAGAAACGGGCUUCAAUGCUUGGAAUGAAAUUGCCAAUAAGAGCAAGAUGUGUGGGUAUUAUUUAUAAGUACAUUUUGUUACCCUUUCCAAUUAGGAAACUUGCGUUGCGUUUCCUUGUUGGGUUGGUUUCUGUCAGUCAGAUGCUUAUAGUGUGGUUUCUUGGUGGUGAAGUAAUUUUAUGGGUUUUCAAAUUUACAUUGAGCUGUUGUGAGUGUUGUGCUUGAUCAUUAAGGGUUUGUUUGGACGAGGGACUUGGACAUGCGAUUUGGGCUUUCAUGGAAUUUAACAAAUUUCAUAUGCCCCGUUUGGCAAGCCCGAAGAAAAAGAACCAGAGAAGUUUGAAUUUCCCUAGGGUUUUCAUUAUCUUGUUUGUAUCAAUCAGUUAGUUGAAUUACAAUCACGCACAGGGUUUGGUAUUUGUAUGCUGGGGAAUUCGCUUAUUCUUGCAGAUUGAGGAUCAUUAAGUGAACGAAAGCAGCCCUUUCAUGCUUGGGAUUUUUGUUAUUUUAGGGUGGCCUAUACCAUUGGAAGUGUCAAGAGAAGAAAGGGGAAAGAGGUUUAAAAAAAGGGGNNNNNNNNNNNNNNNNNNNNNNNNNNNNNNNNNNNNNNNNNNNNNNNNNNNNNNNNNNNNNNNNNNNNNNNNNNNNNNNNNNNNNNNNNNNNNNNNNNNNGACGCUAGAACACUCCGACACGUAUAACCGGUGUGUGGGUUUUAGACCAGCCGAUAAACAAAAAAGGGGGGAAAAUAUAAAGUGCAUCGCUGCUCGGCUAUACUAUUUAUUAAAAAAGAAAAAUAUUAAAUAAAAAAAAGGGUAUAGCCGGUCGGCUAUAUUAUUUUUUAAAAAAAAACAAAAAAAGGGUAUUGCCGCACCGCUAUACAAUUUUUUUUAAAAUUAGGGAAAAGGAUAUUGUCGUCUGGCUAUACUAUUUUUAAAACAAAUUAGAAAAAAACUGAGUAUAGCCGUUCGGCUAUACUAUUUAUAUAUAUUUAAAAAGUCCUGCCUAGAGCUUAGGUGCCACGUGUCAAAAACAGUAUGGCCGUUCGGCUAUACUGUGUUUUAAAACAAUUAGGCAAAACGGGUAUAGCCGAACGGCUAUACUAUUUUUAAAAAAAAAUUAGGAAAAUCUGGUGUCGCCGUCCGGCUAUACUAUUUUUAAAAACAAAAAAGGACGCGCCACGUGUAAAGUAAGUAGAGCUUAGGAAAAAGGCGUAUAGCCGUUCGGCUAUACUAUUUAUAUAUAUUAAAAAAAGACCGGCCUAGCACCUAAGCGGCACGUGUAAACAAGUCAAGCCGUGCGGCUAUACGUGUUUUUAAAUUACGAAAAAACCGAUUAUAGCCGUUCGGCUAUACUAUUUUUUUAAUUUUAUAAAACCAAGUAUAGCCGUGCGGCCGUACCAGGUUUUAUUUUUAUUUUUUAAAAGAUCUAAAGUUUUUCCUUUUAUUUGUUGUCAAAUUUAACCACUAUAGAAGUAGUAUUAUCAAACAAGUGAGUCUAGUAUCAUUGUUACCAAAACAACCUGUUGACAAAACUUCUGAUUUGGCAUUUGGUCAACAACAAUGUGUUCCAAACGACAUCGUUGUAUAUCAGAUUAACAUCAGAAACGUCAUUACUUACUAUAAUCCCAAAAGUCUUUCAUGUUUUGGUCCUCUGAUCCCUCAAGUCAAUUGGUAUCUAUUAUGUAUCAUUGGUGGGGCACCCCAAGCAUAGCCUUUUCCUCACAUUGCCUAUAUUUUAAUCAGAGAAAUCCUAUGUUAUGUUGCUUUUGUUGGCAUUCUUUGUAACUUCACAUUAUCAUCUGCAACUUUCAUGGGGAUUUUUAGCAAGAAACAACAAUCUGGGUUCUCUGCCUCUUCAACAGCAGAGGAAGUUACUGAAGGGAUUGAUGGAACUGGUCUUACUGCAAUUGUUACAGGUCAUCAUGCUCUAUUUUUUAAGCUUCAUAUAUGAAAUAUUUUUUUUAUAAAAAUCUGAUAAAGGAUUUUCCAAUGUAAAAAUGGAAAAAUGAUUAGAAGAUCAGUAAUCUGGACUAGCUUUUAGUAAUUCUUUGAUAUAUACAUACUUUUGUAUUUUUAAUUUUAUAUUUAAGUACUUUUCUUAGUUUCUUGGAUGAUCAUUUAUCAUUCCAAAUCUAAAUGAAAUUAAGCUGUUGACUGAGAAAACAUGCAUGAAGCUAAGAUGGCUUCUUCUAUAAGUUCUCUUCUAUGAUAUAAGAUGUCUAUUAUUUCUCAUAUAUAUACAGCAAGUAUAGCAAGACCCUUCAGUUUUUGUUUCUUAAUUUUCAUGUCAAUGAGCGUUCCUCUGUGUGUUUCUCAAGGUAAGGUUGUUCAAUUUCAGGAGCCUCAAGUGGUAUUGGUGUAGAGACAGCGCGUGUUCUUGCAUUGCGCGGUGUCCAUGUAGUUAUGGCAGUAAGGAACACCGAUGCUGGGGCGAAUGUCAAAGAAGUAAUCCUUAAAGAAAUUCCCAAUGCUAAAAUUGAUGUCAGGGAGUUAGACCUCAGCUCAUUCACAUCUGUAAGAAAAUUUGCAGCAGAUUAUCGUUCCUCAGGCCUUCCAUUGAACAUCCUUAUGUAAGAUAAGCAAAUGCAAGUUUCCUUCUGUUUGUUGUGUGUGGUUUGUUACAUAUUUACUUUAUUAUAUGAAGCUAAUAUGUCUUUAUUUCAUACUAUGGCAAUAAGAAGUAAUACAAUCUCUUCUUUGUUGGAAGUAACAAUGCAGGGGUAGGAGUGACACCGUUCAAACUUUCUCAAGACAGUAUAGAACUCCAGUUCGCAACGAAUCAUUUAGGUUUGUUACCUAGAAAUUGCUUUGAACUGUAGCCUGCCUACUGAUCAGUUUCAUACAAGUUUCUUUUACCAAUCUAUUUGUUUCUUGAACCAUCAAAUGUGCAGGUCAUUUUCUUCUCACAAAUCUUUUGUUGGAGACCAUGAAAAGCACAUCGCGAGAAAGCAACACAGAGGGGAGAAUCGUGAACGUAUCAUCACUGAGCCAUCAUUACGGAUACCGUGAAGGAAUUCGUUUUGAUAAACUUAAUGAUGAACCCACGUAAAUCUUCUGCAGGAUAUGCAGAUUAUAUAUGCUCAUACCUGUUUUAAACAUUUUGAGAUGUCUGUUUGGAUAAAUAUUUGUCAACAAUCUGACCCUUUUACUUGCUAAUAUACAGAUACAACAGGCAUUUUGCUUAUGCACAAUCCAAACUUGCUAACAUCCUACAUGCUAACGAGCUUUCGCGGUGUCUGAAGGUAUUGAACAUUUAAGGACAUCCCAUUAUUUAUGCCUAAUUUCUAUGGACAUAUAUUGCAUGUAUCCUUAUCUUCUUGGUUGACUUGGUAACUUAUUUUUGAAACAUCAACUAAACAGGAAGAAGGGGUAGAGAUAACGGCUAAUUCUGUUCAUCCCGGAGCAAUUCUCACGAAUAUUACCCGCCAUGACAGCUUCGCACGGUGUAAGCUUUAUCUUCUCUACUUUACCAGUGACAAUUACUUUUACUGUAAAAUCCCCUGCAGUCAAGACUAAAUGCAUCACUUUUCAUAUUAGCUCAUAAUCAAAGUUCUUGACGCUGAGUAUUUGUCUGAUUUUUCACUGAUAAACUCACUUUUUUCAUUGGCCUGACAGGUGUUUUUACUGUGGUGUGUUUGUUUAUCUCUAAAACUGUUCAGCAGGUACUUCUUGACGUUCCACAAUAUAUUAAAUCAUAUGAUUUUAUUUGAUUUUCUAGAUAGAGAAUCUUGUGUUUGUACUAUAUAUUCACAUUGUAUAGCAGCUGCCCUUGAACUAUUUCAAUGAACAUGGUCAUGCAGGGUGCGGCAACCACAUGCUUUGUGGCACUCAAUCCACAAGUUAAGGGAGUAGGCGGCGAAUACUUUUCGGACUGUAAGAUUGCCAAACGGAGCUCUCAGGCAAAAGAUGCUGAUAUGGCUAGGAGACUCUGGGAUUGUAGCUUUAGUUUGACCAAUCCCAAGAAGUAGGAUGUUUUAAUAUUUGCUGGUUGCACUGUUCGUUAUGAAAUCAAACCUCCAAAUCUCAAACUGUAACCAAAUGCUGAACUCAGACUAUAAAAAGUUCCCAUUUGUUCCUUAUUUGUAAUUUAAAACCAGUCUAGAAACUGGAGCACAUAGACAACAUGAAUGGAACUACAAAGUAAACAGCUUUCAACAUGGUCAAGAAGCAACAUGUGGUUUAUGGUUUAAGAUGUUUAACAUGAUGUAUUUAUUAAAAUGUUGUCAAAUUCUCUAUAGCUUAAUGGCAGGGACUCGACUUAUUACUUGGACAACAGUUUAACAUAUUGUGUUUUGCAAAUCCCAUAUAGAGGGGUGAGACUCGUAAGAACUGACUUGGACUCCAUAGAGCUGCAAAUUUGAACACAUAUUUGCUCAUGGACAAUCAAAACUACCCAACAUGUUGCAUUCUAGUAUGAGAGCCGCAUCAAAAACGACAUUGCUUAUAACAAUCCCAAACAAAAUUGCCACGUAGGGGGGAUACAUGGGCCAACAGCAAGCAAACAGUUGUCAACUUGGUAUCUAUCAUCAAUGGGGCACCUCUAGCAUAGCCUUGUCUUGACAUUGGCUGUUACUCUCGUUGCCAAUAUUUUAAGAAAAGAACUACAAUGUUUUGACACCCAGAAAAAAAAAAUUAUAUAUAUAUAUAUAUAAAAACUAUUUUCGCUAGUUUUGGUAGCAUUUUCUUUGUUUUGUAACUUGCAAGUUCAUUAUCAUCUGCAGAAUUAAUGGGGAUAUUUAGCAGGAAAGGACCUUCUGGGUUUUCUCCCUCUUCUACAGCAGAGGAAGUUACUGAAGGGAUUGAUGGAACUGGUCUGACUGCCAUUGUUACAGGUCAAGCUCUAUUUUAAGCUUCAUAUAUGUGAUAAAAUUUUCUCUUACUACAUUAUCAGGUAUUUCAGUUAUUUGUUUUAUUUGUUUAUGUGAUAAAUUAUAGGAUUUAAUAUGAUUUAGUAUGUCACUGGAGCAACUUCCCAGGUAAACAUGGGAAAAAACUCUUGUUAGUUUCUUGGAUGAUCAUAUGUUACUCUGAGGCUAAAUCAGAUUAAGAUGGUUUCUUUCAUAAGCUCUUCUGAAUUACAUGGAGAUGUAGCUUUUUAGCCUCUGGAUUUGGACAUCUCCAUUGUUUACAUGUGAAUGAGCCUUCCGCCUUGUUUCUCAAAGCAAUGUUUUCAAACAUUUCUGUGUAAAAACUUUGUUUAAUUUCAGGAGCCUCAAGUGGUAUCGGUGCAGAGACAUCACGUGUUCUUGCGUUGCGUGGUGUUCAUGUUGUUAUGGCAAUAAGGAACAUGGAUGCUGGGGCCAAAGUCAAAGAAGCAAUCCUUGAAGAAAUCUCCAACGCUAAGAUUGAUGUCAUGGAGUUGGACCUGAGCUUGUUGGCAUCUGUAAGAAAAUUUGCAGCAGAUUAUAACUCCUCCGGCCUUCCAUUGAACAUUCUUAUGUGAGAUAAGCAAUUUGCAUUUUUAUUACUGGCUAUGCUUCUGGUUUAUAAUUAUUUUCCUCAAUUUACCCCUUUUGUCAAACGUGGCCUUAUUGUACUAGAUUGGAUUGGAUCGUGUGUGAACUUUCCAAAGUCAUACAAAGCUUAAGUUGUCAUAAAGAUCCCUAAAUGCUCUGCACAAUACAGUACAGUCCAGUACCCUGUAUCAAAGCAUAUCAGAUGAGCCCAGAGUGGAGAAUCAAACUUGCCCACCCCGCAAGUUAACACGAUAAGUGAUAAGUGGAUAUAAGGGACGGUUUCGAACAGACUAUCUCUAACACCAGAGUUCUUGUACCAUGUUCGACAACCACCGGACCUCAAAAACUUAUGCUGCUACAAAAUUAGAUCUAACAUAUUUUUAUCAAGCUGACAUGCAUUUAAAAGCUCAUACAGCCAUAAUUCACACUUGAUUAUUAUAUAUAUUCUGACAAUAAGAAGUAAGACACUCUCUUGUUUGUUGGAAGUAACAAUGCAGGGGUAGGAGCAUCUCCAUUCAAGCUUUCUCAAGACAGCAUAGAGCUGCUGUUUGCAACCAACCAUUUAGGUUUGAAACCUAACAAUUGUUUUGAAGUCUAAACUAUCAGAAAAGAGAUCAGUCUUUCACAAGUUGCUUUUGUCAAUUCAUUUGUUACUUAUACUAUCCAAUGUGCAGGCCACUUUCUUCUCACCAAUCUUCUGUUGGAGACCAUGAAAAGCACAUCGCGAGAAAGCAACAUAGAGGGGAGAAUUGUUAAUGUAUCAUCACUACUUCAUCCAUAUGGUUACCGUGAAGGAAUUCGUUUCAAUAAAAUCAACGAUGAAUCAGGGUAAAUCUUUUUUAGGCUAUACUGAUUUAACGUGCUAGGUGUCUGUUUAGGGUAAAUAUGUCAACAAAUCUGCCCCUUUUGCUUGCUAUUUUCCAGGUACAACAGAUACUAUAAUUAUGCGCAAUCCAAGCUUGCUAACAUCCUACAUGCCAAUGAGCUUACAAGGCGUCUCAAGGUAUUGAACGUUUUAAUAUACACUUUCAGAUUUGAUAUGCAUUUCUUGGUUGGCUUGGUAACUUAUGUUUGAAAUUUCAACUGAACAGGAAGAAGGGGUAGAGAUAACAGCUAAUUCUCUACAUCCUGGAGCAAUAGGAACGAAUAUUACGCGCCAUGAUAGCUUUUUACAAUGUAUGCUUCAUCUUCUGUACUUUACCAGCGUCAUUUUUAUAAUAGGAAAGUUCCCUUCAGUGAAAACUAUGAUCAUCUUUUCAUAUCAGCUCAUAAAAAAAGUUCACGGCACUGAUUAUUUGUCUGGUUUUCCACUUAACAACUCACAUUUUCACUGGAUUGGCUUCACACAGGUAUCUUCAGUGUGCUGGGUAUAUUUUUCUCUAAAACUAUCCAACAGGUACUUCUACCUUUCACAAUAUAUGCAGCGUAUGAUUAUUAUUAUUAUUAUUAUUUUUGGGUACUAAAUACUAAUGCUACAAGGACCGUGUUUGUGAAUCUCGCUCUAUCAGAGAUGUGGUCUACAAUUUGAUCAAAUCGUUUUAAUUUAUAAAAACAUGGUCUUGCAGGGAGCGGCAACGACAUGCUUUGCAGCACUCCAUCCACAAGUUAAGGGAGUAGGCGGCGUAUACUUUUCAGACUGUAACAUUGCCAAACCGAGCUCUAAGGCAAAAGAUGCAGAUUUGGCUACCAGGCUCUGGGAUUUUAGCUUGAGUUUGACCGAUGCCAAGCAGUAGGGCAUUUUAAUCCUUGCUGGUUAAUGAUAUGGGUUUUCUGCACUGUUCGUUAUGAAAUCAAUUGCCAACUUUCAAAGUGUAAUAAAAUGCUGGCCUCAAACUACUUCACAUUCGUACCAUAUUUGUAAUUUAUGAUCUUCAAUCUAGGGAUUGUUUUGAGUCUUUAUGGCACAAGGGGUUUCUAAAAAUACCCGAUUUGAACUAUCUUUAUAAAAACAUUAUAUCCAAGGACCUUACUGAAAUUUUUGCUUAUUCAUCAAUAGUCAAUAAAUAAGGUCAUCAGCAGAAGAUAUCUAAAGAGAGAAAUACAGGAGGAAUUAGAUUUCUUCUAUUUGAUGCAAGUAAAUUCAGAUACAACAGUAUAAAGCCGCACAGCCCAUCCCAUCUUAAGAACUGGACUGAGGUGCCAAUGCCAUAAACUGAUACAGGUUCAACAACAAUCUUCACAAAAUCUCAACUCCAAUUUAAUUCCCAACCCCCACUGUACAAUAAUUUGUGCCAUCUCAACCACCCUCUUUCCUCCCGGAAAAACAAAAUAACCAAAAAAUGGUCAGGUUCAAAUACGGCAUCUGAUAGCCUCUUUUUCUUUUUUCUUUUUCUUUUUCCCCAAGGAGCAACAAAAUGUACACUAUUUUACAGCAGCAGAAACAUUAUCUUUACAAGGAAUUAACAAAAGCCGGAUCUCCAAUGACCGCCUUCGACUCCUGCAAAGGGAAGACUUCAACGGUUCAACCACUACCAUAGGAGAAUAUAGCUUAAGAAGCCUCUUCUGCCAAAGUACUGCUUACCACUGGAACAUGACUGAGCAUUGAGGCCUUUCAUAUCAUGUUUCUCUUCUGGCAAUCAGGGUAUCAGAAGAUCCAAAAGCAUCAUUUGUCAAGUUGUUGACUCUUACAGUACAAAAUGGACUUUUCAGCAAUGCCAAUACGCCAGAGAUCAUGCACCCAUUCUAUAUAACUGCUUUGAUAAACCACUAGCGAAGAUUAAGGUCCAUGGAAGGAUUCAGCUUUAUAUGAUCCCUUAAGAGCUGUUGAGACACACGAUCAGCCAAAAUCGACUGCACAUCAAAUAACUCCUGGGGGUCCCUGGGAACAGGAUUCCCUAUCUGAUCUCCCGGUGCACCAUUAUCAGAUGAAAUUAUAUCCAAGAAAGCAUGAGAGGCUUGUGGAAUCCCUCGAAAUAGGUCUGGCUUUGGCUCAUGGUAUGGAAUGCUGCCAUUUGUAUAGAAACCACAGUUCUGAGAUCUCUGGCUCUUCCCCAUGCCUUCAUGUAAGUAGGUUGUUGGCUGCGUCAAGUGUUGAAAAGGAAUUGCACCGCUGCCACCAGUGAGAGGUGUAGAUGAGCCGGAUGUGGUACGAGGGCUAGAUAUGGGAGAAGGAGACAUCCUUCCGCUGAAAUGUUGUGGUGAUCUAGAAUGUAGAAGUGGACUUCCAAUAGGAGAAACAGGGCACGAUACGUUUCUUGGUGUAUGGGCAUCACUGAAAACCAUAAAGGAAAGGGAAAGGUUAAAAUUUUAAUGGAACAUUGAGAGAUGACUGGUAGACAAAUCAGUCCUCAUAUCCCGAGGUGGCAUUAAUAUCAACUAACGAGUUUCCCAACAUUUACUUCUGUAUGGGCUGUGAUGGUAUUGGCAUUGCCUUUCUUUAGAUGAAGGGUUGAAGCAUAUAUUGAGCAUUCUUUAAUUCAAAGUACAAAAUUCCUGUGUUUAAUAAGCUUAACUACUAUUCUGUGGGUAAAUGAGUUGCAAGCAACAGCAAGAUAAAAACCAGGUAUUCAUAAUAACAUGAUGAUUUGGCCAUCAAUUUUAACCACUCAUCUACACAUAAUAAAGAUAUAACUGAGAGAGGAGAAGGAAGAUAUACCUUGAUGCCGAGGCAGUUUUUGAGCCUCUGGACUGAUGGAUGCCCAUCCCUUCUGAGUCCAAGUUAGAAUGAUUUCUCCCGUGUCCAAAGGCCUAAAAGAAUAUUUAAAAAAGGAAAAGAAUGAAAGCUGCAACUGAUAAAGCAGACAAAAGAUGAACUUUUUAAUGUUCUACCCCAAAUAUGCCAGCAUAAAUUGACAUAAAAUAUUAGGCCCCAAAUAGCAUUGCUGGUUGUCCACAUGAAUACAUGGAACCAUAAUUUCUGUUUCCCACAGCAUAUCCAACAUAUAUGGACAUAAAAAAAGGUGUUAUUUUUGCGUAGAUUUUAAGAUCCGGAAAAGCCUUUUCAUGUCCAGUGUCAGCAGAGCAUGUUUAUAUUUAUACGAUGUACAAUCACAGAAGAACAAUAUGAAGGGAUGGGAAACAUUGUGAAUCUUGUUAGUUACAUACAAAUACAGCAAUUACAUAAAGCCAUAAAAUUCUCAUGAUAUUAAAGCCCUUGUCUUUUAGAUGCCUACAUCAUGAGGUAUUCUAUACUUAGUAUUAAAAGUGAAAACUUAAUAUCUGGUUGCCAUAAAUUCAACAAAUCUGAAAAAUGGUAAAUGCAAUAGUCACAUAUGUGCAGUUUAAUGGCAUAGAAAUCGAAUUUGUGGGGGCUAUUGGUUUAGGGUUUAUACCAGAGAUCUCACUGCAGGAGGUCCUUCGGGAGGCUCUGCACUCAAAAUGGUUCUUUCCAAUGGAGCAACAUUUUUAACAAAAGGAUGCUCCAAAAGCUGAGCAGCUAUAGGACGAUUCAGUGGGUUACGUUGCAAACACAGCCUAAUAAAGUCCUUCCCAUCAUCAGACAGAUGAUCAGGAAUUCCAGGAAGUUCCUUACUGUUUCCAAUCUUAAACAUAGCAGCAACCUUUGAAGCACAAACACAAGAACCAGGUCAAGGAAUUUUUGUCAUGCAAGAACUGUCAAUGAGAAAUGUAUAGCAUUAGACUAUUUUGUAAUACUCCAGUCUAUGAAUCCAAAUUUUACUAACCCCUUCAUAUUGACUCCAAGGUGGUUUCGUUGUGGCCAUCUCAAGAACAGUACAACCAAGGCUCCAUACAUCAACCGCAAGAUUACAACCGUUCGAAUUCUUGAUAACCUAAACAGUUGAGUAAAUAAUGUUACCACAAAUCCAGAAAAAAAAUCGUGAUGCAAGAGUGGAAAAAGGAACCAUCCUGACCUCGGGUGCCAUCCAAUACGGGCUUCCCUUGAACGACAAUGGACAAGACUGCCCAGUUAUCUACAAUUAUUCAGAUAAGAUUAAUUAGAACACUCAGAUUCAAGGUUGACAGGAAAAAAAACAUUAAACAACUUGGAGCAAUGUAGCCCUUUUUUUUUAAAACGUUGUCUCGUGUUCUAUUUCUAAACAAAAGGUAGAAAAUGGUGUUACAACAAAAUGAGUACUUAACAAGCAUAUUUUCACUCUCAUAACACACUGGCUUAUAGGAUCUCUUACAAUGCUACCUAUCAGCAUCGAGGUUUCAUGCUAACUGGACAAUCAAACGAAAUGAUUGAAUGGUAAUUACACUAAAAACUUGCAAAUGAAUGAUCUUACAUGCUUAGCCAUCCCAAAAUCUGCCAAUUUUACCCGACCAUUGGGAUCUACUAAUAUAUUUGCUCCUUUGAUAUCCCUGCACAUAAUAAGCUUAUCAUUAGUUCAAAUGACAUUCCUAAACAAUCAAACUUGACAUUCCUAAAUGAUUAAAACACAUGGCCCAUAAGAUUAAUAAAGUUUCAAUAAUAAUGUGACUGACCGGUGGACAGUGUUUUUGGCAUGUAAGUACGCAAGCCCUGACAAGAUUUGUUGAGUAUAACUACGAAUAGCUAUUUCACCAAACUGACCAUACUCUUGAAGCAGUUUAUAAAUGGAUCCACCAGACAUAUACUCCAAGUAUAUGUAAAGUUUGUCAUCUACCUGCUCAGGCAUACACCACCACAUGUCAACAACAGGAAUGACACACUUAUUUAAGAAUAGUUACUAUCGAACGUGUAAACAGCCAAUCUUGACUGACCUAGGCACCAAAACCUUUUUAGAUAUUACACAGUAAUAAGAGGGACUUACUGUCUCAGAUCCAUAAUACUGCACUAUAUUUGGAUGCCGUAAGCGACUUAGCAAAGCAAUUUCCUACAAAACACAAUGCACAAGUAUAUGCCACGUGAAUUGUAAAAAAGACGAAUUGUGCAUUCAAUAAAGGAACACAAAAAAUAUGUAAAGCUUGUAUUGAAAAGUUUACUAAGAAAUAUUCUAUUCUUUGCACUACUGGAAUUUCUAACAGAUCUACUGGGUCACUGACUAGCAAAUAGAACUUACUUGCCCCAGUUGCUGUGCACUUUCUUUUGAUUUUGCAUCAUCUGCAAACAGAGUUACCUCCUUCAUUGCACACAUCUCACCGCUUUCACUGAAGCCCAAAAAUUGAAUCAAACCAGACAUUCAAAAAUUCCAAAGAAGUUGUGCAGUACUUCUAACGACAACAAAGUGGACUAUAAUAAAUCAUAAUUUUAAGUUCAGAAACACUGUCUGCUUAAUAUUUGAUAAGCACAGGAAAAUUGUAAUUUUGAAAUGCUGAUACUUGAAAAUUUCAAUCUGUCACAUGUAGCUUACACUGUCUGCUAAAUACCAUACAUACUGAGAAAUUAUACAACUGUAAAAUUUGCAAUCAAUUAACAGAGCUGAGUUCGGCUACAAACCUGUUAAAACCAAGAUAUACAUGUCCAAAUGUGCCCCUCCCAAGCAGGCGACCCUUCUUCCAACGUGAACCAGGACUUGCUGGAUUCUCUGCCCUAUUAGGGCUACGUGGAACUGUGGGAGUUGUUGCAGCUGAAUAUGCAGGAGAAAAAGGACAGGUAUUAGUUAUUGUUAUUGGAGGAAGGGGCAACCGGUGGCUUUUCUGCUUCCCAUCGUCAGGCCGGUUUGUAGGCGACUCUGCAGCUGGCCCUCCAGCUCGUGGAUGCAGAGGGGUAACAGCACCACUUUGUAUUCUGGAGCUGGGGCCAGGACUGGUCAAUCUAGGACUAGGUAUUGGAGAACACUCAGGGCUACACCUAUUGUGCUGCCAAAACAACGGUCCUGACAGAUCCCCUCCGACUGAAUUAUGCCCAGAAUUUUGACCUGAACCUGGACUAGAGCUGUGAGCAGAAGCUAUUUCUGGAUAAGGCUUCCCUGCCCAGAAAUUGGAGUUCCUAACUUGCUCAGAGCCAUAUACUCUCAUAGGACUCCUAGAAGGACUUGACAGUGAGCUGUCUGGAGCACUAAAGAAAGCACCAUGGUAAGGGAUUUGUAUAUUCUGCAUAUGUGUGCUUGAUGGUCUCCGUUUAGGUGAUGGAGACAGAAUCUGAGUAUUGAACAGAAGAUUAUCCGGCUUCACAGUCUCUUUUGAGUUCUUUUGGUCGACGGUAGGGAAUUGAUCCUUUUGCAUUACACUUCAGCAAAGAUAGAAGUAAAUUUGUCAGGGGUGGACACACGCAAGCACUCACACACAGAUGAAGCAUUUACAGGUGAAUAUGACGGUUAUCUAACAUCAUAACCUGAAAUAAGAUCUUCAUUCUCAAUUAUAUAUAUUAAAACAUACCUGGAAGGGCUGUUCAAAGUUGUUCUGUUUCCAUUUUCAUAGUCAGAUCCCAUGGGACUUAGCAGACGUGAGUCAAUCGGAUCAUCACUAUCAGUAGAGCUAUCACAAGAUAUGGAAGCAGUAGCUAUAUCUCCUUCAGCAUCAGUAGGAUCUUCCCUGCUUGAGACACAUUCAGGUCUUGGAAGGGGCAAAUAGAACAAUUGAUUGGACCCUCUGUCAGAUCCUGGUUUUGAGGAUGCACUGAUGCCAGAGUCGGUACGUCCAAUGUUAGAAAGUUGCACCCUAGGGAGGGGUAGUGGCUGGGCAUGAGGCCGUUCUGCAAAGCUUUGGCAGCGUGAUACUUGUUUGGAGGGUGCAGGUGACAGUGCCCUGGAUAGAGAACCCAUUUCUGAAAUAGUGUCGCUGCAUGGCCUUCGAGAAUUUCCUGAUCUACUAUUGAACUUCUCUUCCGAUGAACUCUUAAGUUUUCGGUGUAUGGUUGCUAUGGUUUCAAUGAAACUCUCCUUAUUUGCUUUCUUCUUUACGUCUUUGGAUGAAGACUUCCUCCACCAAGAAGGCAUGCUUAUGUAAUGAACAAAUUACAGUAGGCAAAUCCUGAGAUAAAUUACUCUCCUUGAUUAUAGAUAAGCUAUCACAUUUAGACCAACUUAAUGAACUGGUGUGCACCUCAUCUAUUCAUAACAAUGAGAAGUAAUCCAGAGCUCAUAUCUAUGGAACCUCUGAAUAACAAAACUCAACAGAUAGCCUUAACACAUUUAGGAAGGGGUCCUAAAUGAGCUGCUCAAUAGAAAUGGUACUCAAUAAGGACCUGUAUAAAUAUUAGAAUGUUUUUUUCAUUAGCUCUUGCCAAGAACAAAUACAAUAGACAAAUACUUUGCAUAAAUGUAUCUCUCAUAAAAAUAUAAAUUUGAAUGAACAGUAGCUGCCGAAGUCAUAAAGAAUGAUAAUCCAGAUUCACGAACUACUGUCAAAAUAACACAUUCUAAUUAUAAAUGUUGGCCUUUUCCAGACCCAAAGAAAAAAAAGUUGCCUUUCCAAUUGCAAAAGGAAAAAAAAAAUCAACAAAACUCUAAAGCCAUUACAUUUUUGUUUGAAGAGCUUUGUUUCUAAAUAAAGAAAUGCUACAGUUUUCCCACAUUUCUGAAUUUUCCAUUACAGACUUGUUUCUAAACCUUUAUUUGUAAAGUUUUCGGGCAAACAGAGGCUAUCAAUAUUAUACUAACGAUCACAUGUCAAUAGCACACUCAAAACGCUUAAGAACCCAAAACACACUUCCUCAGCUCAGAUCUACGCAAUUCAAUCACCCAUUUCAACAAAUUCAAUAGCAUAACUUAAAAAUAUUCAAACCCAAAGGAAAUUAGCAAGUGAAAGAAAACUCUCUCCUACCAAAGAAAAAACCAACAUUAACUUCUAACAAUUUCGAAAUUACGACUCGUUAAAUAAAACCAUAAAAAGCAGAGCUUAAGCUACUCAAACCCAAUGGCGGAGACAACGCGAGCUAAAAAAUGAAACAGGCCCAUAAAUUCACGACAUAAAAUGAAAAAAAAAAACCUUCCGAAUCAUUCAAUUCUUUGCAGCUCAACUGUAGAGUUCAAGGCACUGAAGCAAAAACCCUAACAAUGAAUCACUUACAGUGUGGUGGUGUAUGCAGAGGCCGAAACGACGACGCUAAGAGAAAAAGCUCGAAACUCAGCGUUCGUCUGCCUAUCUGUCCUCCGCAACACGGCUAAGCGAAGAAGCUGAAAAGACACCGAGCAAGGAAGAGAGUUUUUAGAGUGAGAAGAGUUUUUUGUCUGUGCGUUAAGUGUCUCAGAAAUAAAAUAAAUUAAAGUGUUAAUUAAUUAAAUAAGGACGUUUAGGCCGCAUCGCGAUAUAUGGUGAUGACGUGGUACCGUUGGUGGUGACUAAUCGAUUUCGAAGUGAUGACCUCAGUCGGUGUUGUCAUGGCUAGGAACGGUUGCAGGUGAAGGUGUAUGGGGUGUAGAAUGUGGUGAGGAGUAUGGAAUUUUUUGAUGUUUAUUAUAGUUUUUUAACGGCAGCUUUACUCAAAUAUUAUUCCAUUAUCACCAUGCUUUACGCAAUUGUGUUUUUCCUUUCUUUUGUUGAGAUCCUUAUUUUUGGUUUAUCCAUAGCCUAUCGUUUGUUUCGAACCUUUGGCUUUGUGCAAUGUCACAGGUAACAUUAUUUUGUCAAACUUGUCAAUUGUAAUCUAAAUUGAGAGUUUCAAAAUUGUUUUAUGAAACGAAAUUUACUUUGCAAUGGGUAGGGAGUUCUACGGAUGAAUUUUGAAUUUAUAUUGUUAAUAAUGUAUCGAUAAUGUGUUGGUACGUUUUGUUAUUAACAUGUUAUCAACCAUGAUAUCCACACAUCUAUAGUACUUUUUUUAAUAUAAAAAAUCGAACAUUUUAUCAAGAAAAACAAAGAAUUUUAUGAGUACUAAAACAAUUUCUAAAUGAUAGCAUUUUAAAAAUGGGAUUGAAUAUAAAUAAAACAAAUGUCAUGGAGAUGAGUGGUGUGUGUAGAAAUAGUGGUGGGGGUGGCAACAUCAGCAAGAGUGAUGCUGUUGGUGAUGGGAGUACAGAUGUGAUGAUGUUGUGAUGGCCGGGGGCGUGGCGGCGGCGUGUUGGUGGUAAGGUGGUGGUGAUGUUGUUGGGAAGUUGGUGGCGAUGGUCACGGUUGUUGCUUUCUUUUUUUCCCUUAAAAUAUUUUAUAAUAUUGUGAUUGUAGAGAUAUAAAACAAUUGUCAUUUAUGAAAAUUGAACUCAAGAACCCCUUCAAUAAAUUCGAAAUAGGCUUUGACAGAAAUGACCUCUACUUAGGUUUGGAUUUGACACCCCAAUUCCAAGGUUUUAUUAUCCAAACAGGCCGUUACAUAAUUCAUUUCACUCUUUUUGUUUCUUGGAAAUUCAUUUCACUUAAAGAGAAGUGAAUCACACGUCAGCUUCCAUCUAGAGAUUUCCAAAGUUUGUUUCCUUAUGUGAAUUUUCAGUAUAUCUAUAGUAACCUCCAUAAGAAUCACACUGUCUUACCAUAAUAGCAGGUCUAUGUGCUCUGGUUGCCAAUUAAAUAAUAUUCUAUAAUUCUUAGUUUUUGUAUAUUUAAAAAAAAAAAAAAAAUCUCUCUUCUCUUGUCCUCUAUUUUCAUUUGCUUCUUUUUUUUUUGGAAAUUCAAGUAUUUUUCUUCUUUCUGACCAUAUAUCUCUGGUUUGGGAUGCACCCAAACUUCUCCCUUUUACUACUUUCCUUUCUCUUCUCCGGCGACGCACCAUAUCUCAUUUCUCGACAAUCCAGGUACGUUAGUAACUUUUUCAUGUUAUUAAUUUAUUCUAAAAUUUAAACAAAUAGCAUCAUUUCAAUAGAUAUCACAUCAGCUUGAUGGCGUAGUAGAACUACAAUACAUAUAGAAUUUUUUUCCUUACAAAGAGUAUUAUUGUUUUGAUUUUGUUCUCCUUGUCCAUAAUUAACCUCUUCACAUUUUGAUUCUUGAACACGAAAAGAGUAGCUUUGGGUUUUACUAAGAAAAAGAAUUGGCUAAAUAUACCGAACCAGAUGACUGGUCUCAUUUGGUUCGAUUUUCAAUUUUUUUUAAGAUUUGAUAUUCAAAAUUGAAAUAGACCGCCAAAACUGAUUUAAAACAUCACUAUGUUGGCAAUAAACACAAAUGUCGGCUUCUUAUUCGCUGGUUUCAAAAUUAUUAUUGUUCACAUUGCACAAAAACAACCCACAAUUUUUUUGCACCCAAAUCUCUUUCUCCUAAAUGACCCACAUUUUUUAACCUAAUCUCUCUCUCUCUCUCUCUCUCUCUCUCUCUCUCUCUCUCUCUCUCUCUCUCUCUCAUAUCUUUUGAUCUACUGUUUUAGCCCCUGUCCCCACCACUAUGGCCCAUGUGUGUCUACCUUCUCUCUAGAUCUCAUAAGCCGAACCCAACCAUACGACCCUCUCCCUCCGCCACCGCAACCCUUGAUCUCCCCAUGGGUCAGGGCUUAUCUCGUAUGGAUGGGCAUGGGAAUAUAGCUCUUGCCCGAAGUUUAGCCCUUUUUUAUUAUCAAUGUCCAACAUUGAAAAGAGAAAUACUGCUAGACUAAAAGAUAGUUCGUCUCUGCUUACACAUUUACUAAAAUAAAAAUAUUAGAAAUAUUAGAGAACUUUAGUUGAAGGAUCCCUCAAAUAAGUUUAUUUGAGAGACACCCUUAUGGGGCCUAUCUACAUUGUAUUUUCAUAAUCUGAACCGUCUACAUUUUAGGUAUUCCUUCAAAGAUCAUCCCUGCAAAAAAAAAUCACUUUAGUCCAAAAUCAUUUUACCACUCAAUCGAUGGUUGUAGUUUUAGUGUUUUUUUGAACCACCAGGAUCGUCGAUUUUGUUGAUCACAACUAGAUGUCUUAAUGACUUCCGAUUUUUGCUAUUUUUUUUUUGCAAAAAUGAUCUUUGAAUGAAGACUUAAUGGACAAUUCAGAUAGUUGAAAUGGACCCUACAAGAUGUCCCUCAAAUAUCCCUCAAUAAAAGUGAAUUGUUAGAAAUAUAUACUUAUAAUUAUUUUAAUCUUGAGUUUUAAUUUAUGAUCUUCUUUUAAACUUAUGUGUAGUUGUCAAUAGUUUUUGUUUUGGUUAAAAAAAAAAAAAAAUUUUGCUAUAAUACAAUAUGGUACAUAUUAAUGUGUUUAUAUAUUUCUCCCUCACACACACACAAACUAUCCAUAAAUCGAAAUGAAGGCCUCAGGUGUUUGUUUGUCUUCCCCCAAAAACAAUAACCAAUUAUAAACCCUUGUUGUUUCUCUCAGUUUCAGCAAUGGAAGCAGUGCAACUCUCUACAAACUUAACCCUUGCCACCCCCAUGCCACAACUGCAAGACCAAGUUCAGGACCAAGUUCAAGACCAAUUUCAAGACCAAGUUCAAGACCAAGUUCAAGACCAAGUUUCAACAACGUUGGCUUUAUGUGAUCCAUCUUGGACACCACUGAACAGAACAGAAGAGGAAGAAGGCUCAGCUUCUUCUACCCCAGCACAUGAAAACAUCUGUACAAUAAUGCAGAAUGUCAUAGAAGAAGAGCUGAAAAGAAGAGCAGUGGCUGCCCAGAUUUCCAGGCUGCUCACAGUUUGCAGCUACAAUCAGAUACUUCAUGGCAUGUGGAGGGUACCAGCAAACCCGAGCCCAUUUCGCAAUGUUUGGGAGAUUAGGAAGACACUGACAACAAGCGAUGUUGGACAAAAUGUGAGCAGGACCAGCAGCAGGCUGCUGCUGAACACACAUAUGGUCAAGAAAAGCCUCCUGCCCUACUGGAGUUCUCGACUUAUUAAUCGAGUCGAAAGCCAAGAGGGAGCUGCAGUUACAAUCUACGAUUGUAACACAAGCUCCCAGCAUCACUUGACUUUCAAGUAUUGGAAGAGCUCAAGGACAUAUGUUUUGAUAAAAAAAUGGAACAGAGAAUUUGUGAGGAGGAGGCAGUUGAAGGCUGGCGAUGAAAUUGGAUUUUUCUGGGAUGUUCACAGGUUGAUGCUCAUGUUUUCUGUGCUUGGACGCGCAGGGCACCAACUGCCUUCUUUUGCUUGAACAAGCAGAGAACAUUUUUAAGGAACUUUUUUCAGCUUUUGGCAGCCUUUUGUUAUUGAUCAAACAUUGGCAUAUGUUCUGGAUUUUUGAACUGUUUGAGGCUUAGUUUUCUUGGUUUCUUAAUUGGCUUAUCAGAAACUUUCUUAUGUUAUAUAUGCUGCUCAUUUGAACCACAUAUUUUAGCACUUACGAGUAUUCAAAGUGUUUGGAUUGUGUCAUGAUAUGUUUUACUGCACUUGAGUUUUCGGUUUACCGGAAAGAAUUCACAGUCCGGAGGGUGCUGGAAUUAGAGUCGUAAAAGGAGAGGUUAGUAAGCCAGUGCCACAAGGAACUAUAGUUACUUCUGGUUUUCUAUUUUUGAUCAAACAUUGUGGAGUUCAGGUUAAUUUAUUGAAUUAGUUGAGCACUAAUUUUCUUAGUUUGUUUAAGUGUUAUUGCAUAUAACAUAACCAAUUUUGGAUGGAAAUCUUUUUUUGCUAUGGAACACACAGAAGAUAAUGCUUCUCUUAUGUGGAAGGAUUUAGUAUAUAUAAGUUGUAUAUCUACGAGGACAUAUUAAUCGUUUUAUUAGUCCGUAAAUUCAUAUCUGAUUUGCAUUUGAGUACUUUAAUUUUCAAAAUGGUUCUCGUGGUCCUUUAAUUUUAGUUUCAUUAGGACAAAUGGUCCUACCAUUAAUUUUGUUAACUUUUUUGUUAAAUGCAGGGACAAAAUGGUAUUUUUUAAUCAAAAUUGAUUAAAAUAUGAAUAAAAAAUUAAAAUUAAACUAUCUCUCUCUCCCCAUCUAUCCCGAUUUCUACUCCCUCAAAAUUUGAUUUUAUUUUAUUUUUGGUUGGUUUUUUAUUUGAUUUGUUUUUAUUGUUAUUUUAAAGAUAUGAUUUUUUUAUUCAUUUUUUUUGUUUUAAUAUUAAAAUACCAUUUUGCCCAUGCAUUUAACAAAAAAAGUUAACAAAGUUGACGGCAGGACCAUUUGUCCUAACGAAACUAAAGUUAAAGGACCACGGGAACCAUUUUGGAAAUUGAGGUACUCAAAUGCAAAUCGGAUCUAAAUUCAAGGACUAAUAAAAUGAUUAAUCCUAUAUGCUAACAAUAGUCCUAGUUACACAAUGGAAGAAAGUAUAAUACACUUAUCUGUCAAAUAAAUAAGUAAAAGUGUGCGGAAUGUGUUGUUGGCUCGAUACAAGUCAUGAUUUGUGAAGCCAAAAUAGUAGAAAUCUAAUAAUAAUUUACGGUUCAAAUAUAUGUGGUAUCCUACUAAUUGCGCCAAUGUCUUUUCAGUUAAAACACUCACACCCUGGAGGUCUAUUGGACCUAACUCGACCCAGAAUAUUAGACUUGGAUGAUUAAAGUGGGGACAAUAUCAGUCCAUACUUGAAUUUGACAGUGGACUCCUACAUUACAUGUACUUAGACAGAAAAGAGUAUGUUAUUAAUUAUCCUCCCUAAUUACCUUUUUUGGUUGUUGUCAAACCAUCCCUAAUUACUUAGCCACCAAGAAAGCUACAGAGUCUACAAGGAAAAAUCUCCAAUGCCAAAGUAAUUUCUUUAUAAUCUCUAUCUCUAUAAAUAGCCCAUAUUGACUUUCAACCCAAGUAUCACAAACUCUAUCUCUCAGUUUUAUUUUUAUUUUUUGGGGUCUUCCUCUCUCUCUGUGUGUACAAUGGAAGAGAAAGAGGCCUCAACAACACUAACCCUUGGCCCUGCAACUCCAUGCCCACAAGAGAAAGUUUCAACAGAGCUUGGCCUUGCAGCUCCAUGCCCACAAGAUGAAGUUUCAACAGAGUUGACUUUGUGGACCACAAAUAAGAAGAAGAGAAAACCAGAGACAGAGUGCCCUGUUCCGAGGAAGAAAACAAACACGAAUUUGGUCUCUUGGCUGAAACCUAGUGAGGCUUGGGAAAUCAAGAAGACACUCACGCCUAGUGAUCUCGAAAACUUGCUAAUUGUGGAAACAAAUUUUAUCGAGAACCAGGUUAUGUCUUUCUUGGGUGACACGUUUUCCAAAAGGGUACUUGAGAGCAAGUAUGGCGCCCGAGUCACAGUUCACGACCGCGAUACAUUUUCGAAGCAUCGAAUGGUUUUAAAGCUGCGCGAUUCGCCUAGGAGGAGUUACAUUUUGGAUGAAGAUUGGCAGCAGGAGUUUGUGAAGAGGAGAGAAUUGAAGGAGGGUGAUGAGAUUGGAGUUGGCUGGUACACACCCUCAAAUGUUCCUUCCAAAGCCAUGUUCACUUUUUCGGUACUUAAACGGGCAGGCCAACCUGCACCUCUUCAUGAUCAGGAAUCAGUUUAAUGAUGUAACCUGUCUGUAAGAAUUUUUACUAAAUUUUUGUAUGUACUUCUGGCAAAAGUGCUAAGUAAAAAUACUCAACUUUAAAGUUUAAUAUAUUUGGUCUAUGUGUACAACUCAACUUUUCGAGUAUUCUAUAUAUCCCAUCUUUGCUUGGAUUUCCCUUUUCUUUCUUUCUUUUCCUUUAGUUCGUUAUAAUUUUCAAUCUUUUGGUUGUUUGUGGAAUUAUUAUUAUAUUUUUAUUUCUGGUGUUUUCACAAAACUUUAUGAGGUUUCAAAAAUUAUACUAACACCCUCGAGAUUUCAGAUUGUUCUACAAAAUCCAUUUUCGUUUCCAAGGGCGAACCUAUGUGGAGGGCAUGCCGGGCAGCUGCCAGACCCAUUUUGUGAAUUCUCUUUCUUGUGAGCUUUAGUUAUCUAUUAUCUCUCGCUCUUGUGGGCUUUAAUGUCCUAUUAUCUCUCUCUUGUGGGCUUUAGUUUCCUAUUAUCUCUCUUGUGGGCUUUAAUUUCCUCUUGUAGGCUCUCUCUCUCUCUCUCUCUCUCUCUCUCUCAAUUGGGUUUUUGUUAUUCUUAUUAUUAAUUUUUAGGAUUUGAAUAUGAGUUUUGGUUAUUUGUUGAUAAUAUAUUAAUAUCUGUGGGUAAGCUUCUGUUAUUAUUUUUGUAUUGCAUUGCAUUUACUUGUUGUUUUAUAAGCUUUUCUUUAUGUAUAAAGAUGCAUUUGAGGGUAAUGCUCAUUACUUCUAUUGACUAGGUGUAUUUUUUGUAUGUUUAUUAAUAAAAUUUACUCAUACAGUCGAAUUGUUAGUGUAAGUUUCGUCCGGCCGGCUAUCGAAUCUUGGAUCCGCCACUGGAUUGUUCGUCCAAAAUUUGAUGAUUUCUUUUAAAAAAAUACUCAUGCAAAUGACAAAAUAACCUUAAUGAAUGCAUGUGCAAUUUAAUUUCAAAGGCUAACUUUGUCAUUUGGAGUUUUUCUUUGAACCGAAAAAUCAAUGAAAAUGGAUUUUGUGAAAACAAUUUAAAAUCUCAAGAGGUGUUAGUGUAAAUAACUCUUUUCAAAAUUACCAAGUUUGUUAUAUAUUUAGAUAAGAAUUAGUGUUUAAGCGUUGGCCAGUACAUGGUUUUGAGUCUUUCACUAAAUGAGAUCAAAAUGGAAGGAAGACAAGACAUGGAGGGGCGGCAUAACCUUGGAAGUGUUGUUCCCCUCAUUGCAAAUUGUUUUUGGAGUGCAACCUCAAUUUCUUCCUCUCGCUAAGGUUGUUUUUCUUUUUUAAGUUUUUGUUAUUAUUUUCAAUGAUAAAGUUGAGUACUACUAAUUUUAACGGUAAAAUAAUAAUAAUAAUAAUAAUUUAACAUGGAUCACGUUUUGAGUGGAAGGCUAUACAUUGUAAUAAAAAAAGUGGAAGUGAAAAUAACAAACAAAACAGAACUCUGAUGAAAAAGGCCGCAUAUAUGCACAUUACACGUCAUAUACGCCAGCUGACUGGAAGUUGUUCAUUUAAUGAUCGAUCGAGUACUGGAAAAGUUACUAAUGACCAACGUUCACAAACGGUUCGCUGUAAAUUUGAAAUAAAAUUACUUUUAUCUCCAGGAAAAUCACCCUAAGCGUCUGAGUUAAAAUAAAACCAAACCCAACAAGGAAAUGCGAGUUUCCUAAUUGAAAAGGGUAACAAUAUGUUAUAAAUACGCACACAUGUUGCUCUUAUUGUCAACUUCAUUCCAUCUCUCUGUUUUCUUUCUCCCCUGCAACUAGAAUUUAUCAAUUCAUUGGUUUUGUAGUUUGAUUUCCUUCUGUUAAUUUCAACAUUAACAAUGAAGGAAGAAAUUGAUCUCUCAGCACUCCUGGACCUGACCCUUGGCCUUCCUGGAGCUAGGGUUAACCCUUGCCCAGAACCAGACCAACUUUCCACUGCCCUCACUUUGUGUGAUCCAACUUGGAAUUACGACACACACCAGAGAAAAGCAGAGGAAUAUUUAGACCCUGCUCCUCUCAGAUUUGCCCUUCCUAAUCCGGAACACGAGAAAAUGUCGGGUACGAAUGAUAUCAACAAGGAAUUAAAGAAGAAGAAGAGAAACCAAGCAGUGCCGGAUACGGUGAGUCUACAGCCUCGGGAUGAGGGGCCUUGGAAAAUCAGGAAGAAGCUGACAGCAAGCGACACUGGAAACUGCUCAAGGCUACUGAUGCCGAAAAAAUCGGUCAUCGACCAUGUUAUGUGUUACUUGGAUGACAAGUUUGCCAAAAGGGUCAUGAGCGGAGAGGGUAUAGGAGUUUUGGUUGUAGACUGCGACACAAACACCGGGCAUUACUUGAAUUUCAAGCUUUGGGGGUCAGCCGAGUUUUACAUUCUCAACGGAGAUUGGAGGCAAGAGUUUGUGCACAGGAGAGGCUUGAAGGAGAAGGAUAGAAUUGGGCUUUAUUGGGAUACCUCCAAAUCCAUGUUCAUGUUUUCUGUUCUUGAAAGGGCAAUCCAAUCCCAAUUCCCUGCUUGAUCAAUUUGAGAUUUCAAUUAUGAUCAGAAUUGUAACUAGCUAGAUAGUUUAUUCAAUUACCUUUUUAAUUCCUCAGUUUGAGACAUUUGUUGUAAAAGACUUGUGUUUAUCCAAGUCCAAGUGAAUUCUAUGAAUCAAAUCAUACAUUUUCCCAUCAAUAUUUUUUCUUUAUAUUGAUUUGCUUCCUGUUAUAAGUUUUAGUUACACAAAUAAAACAGUUGUUACUGAAAAAUUACUUCAUUCCAAUCUUGCUUUGUUGCCUCCUUUGCUGCCAACGUUGGGGUUGGCAGAUCAAGAAACCUCUCAUAAUUUGUGGAUUAAUUCCUCAGAUGAUUUCUGAUAUAAGUAUUCCAAACCUCCAAGACGCACCGUUUUGCCACAAUGUGUGACACUGAAAUGGAAUUUAGGUCUAAACUUUUUUGGUUGCACUUGGUGGAUUGCAACCCUCAAUUUUUUUCAUUUAGCUGCUGCUACUUCGAAAACAAAAGAAUUAUUGAUUCCAAUGGUCCCCAUUUAUUGCUCUAGUAUCAUUUUGGUCCACCAAAUAAAAUUUUCAUUUGAACCGUCCUUCAACUCUUUUUUUUUGUAUCAAGAUGAUCCUACCGUUAAAGUCUGUCAAUUUUAUUAUUAAAUUGAGAGGUAAAAAUGUCUCUAAGAAUUAAAAUAGUAAUAUAUAAUUAAAAAUUAAAGGAAACUAUUAUAAAACUUAGAAAAUUUUAAAAAAUUGAAUCUCACCAGCCACAUGGCUUUUUUUUUUUCGGUGAGACUGACCUAACAAUUAAUAAUAAUAAAUUCUCUAUUGUUUAAAUUAAUUAAAAGCACAUAAAAAUAAUUUUUUUUAAGAGUAAACAAUAAUUAAAAAUUAAAGGAAACUAUUAUAGGAA
This 34795-nucleotide long non-coding RNA is filed under the name Prunus persica (peach). Its description in RNAcentral is "long non-coding RNA (PPER_LNC005439)". The record is from RNAcentral. Lineage: Eukaryota; Viridiplantae; Streptophyta; Magnoliopsida; Rosales; Rosaceae.